This is a small nucleolar RNA of Cricetulus griseus (Chinese hamster), 128 nucleotides long. Ensembl annotates it as small nucleolar RNA SNORA40. NCBI's taxonomy places the organism in Eukaryota, Metazoa, Chordata, Mammalia, Rodentia, Cricetidae. The record is from Ensembl.
AGCACUUGCAUAUGUUUUUGUUCAGCUGGUGGACAAAGGCACAUUAGACAGGUGCAAAAAUAAAUCCUCUUUUGCAACCCAGAACUCAUUGUCAAGUAUGAGUUUUGAUACAUAUAAGAAGGAAUAGA